UACUGCACCGUAAUGAUCCCCUUCUGGAUGUGGCAAACUUAAUUCAAUUGCUAUGGGCCUCAGUGUUCCAUCUUCUUUCAAGAAGAGAAUUGUUCUCGUUGCAUAAGUCUUUGCAGCUGUAGUAUUUAUCCUCCUCAGGUAUGGCAUCAGGCUGUCGUGGUGAUCUAGUAUGUACAGCUUAUUGUUCCUGAUUGCCUAUAUAUAUAACCACCCCAAUUACUUAAGUUAAUAUUUGAUAUUAAUCAUCCAUGCAGUCAAGUUUGAUUUAGUUUUACCUCAGCAACAGUCAAGCCUUCUAGAUUGUGUAGUAUAUGCUUUCUGAUAUUUUACUGGAUUGCCUUCCAUAUAGCUCUGGAUUUAGUUUGCUUGUUGGCGGGAAUUCCUGUGAGUAGAAAAGUAUUAACAAUCGAACACUUUGACCUCAUAUGACAAAUAAAUAAUAUGAACACUAUUCUUGGUUUUUCUUUUUUCAUUUUCUAGAGCGUUAUUAGCACAUGAAAGUUAUUCAGCAAAUUCUGUGUUUUGUAUUUGAUUCUGUUUUGUUUACUCAAAGCUAAAAAUUAGCGGCUUUAUAUCUGAUACCCCCUUCUCAUAGGAAAAAAGAUAAAGAGCAGAAAAUUUUAUUUACUUGGAGGCAUUGGAUAAUGACAGGAUUGAUUCCAGCCAGCAUUUCUCUACCGAAUUCUUCAUCAGAUCGCCAGGCAUCUUUAUCUUCUGCUCCACGAAGAAAAUAACAAAUUAGUUUAAGUAAAAGGUUAGCUCUCUUCAUUUCUUAAAUUAAUACAUGUCAAAGUCAACAAAUUCAGUAUAAUGUUUCCGCUAAGUUACCUUUGAUGACAUGUGGCAGCGGAAAAUUGUAUGUUUUCUCUCCAUCUGAUCUGAGUAGCUCCCUUAUCGUCUCUAAGGGUAUAUGUUGUCUAAUUUUCUCCAACAUAGUUACAUUAGAUACUUCGGUUGCACCAUCAUAGAGCCGUAGCACGUCCUCAAAUGAGUCAAACUCAUCGGGAGUUUUGUCAAACAGAUCCUUAAGCACUGGCACCAAGAACUGAAAUAGUGACUUGAGUGCAUAUGCUACAAAAUCUGACAUCUUCAGAUGACUAAACCUUUCAUCCCUCGGGACGUAGAUGCUCAGGCUGUUAUAUGCUGGUAUCCUGCCCUCGGUUCUGGGAUCUACAAAGUAGCAAGUGAUUAAACACAUGUGGUUUAUACGUAGAUGCUUAAAUGCAUGCAUCUUCCAAUGUCAGAAUGCAUCUAUACAUGGUAAUCUCUCUUAAGUUUCAUGUUCAACCUCUUACCUGAUGAAGCCAGAGGCCGGCCAGUUCUUCCUCUGCGAGGAUAUGGGUAUUCAGUUGAACCCCCAAGAAUGGGACGUUCUGCUCUGGACCUUUAUCUGGAUCACCUAAAUCAUUGUAUAUAUCAUAGUCGUACACCCUAUCCCAUUCCUCAAGUUUUCCUGUUCCAGUUCCUCUCAGGUUCUCCAAUUCUUCUUCUCUGUAACCACGAAGUGGCGGAGGCGUUUGGCUAGGGAGAUAUGUCUGCAACAGAAGGUUAUUUUCUUCUUUAUAUAGAACACACGUCACAGGCACAAAAUCACUCUUUCUGAGUCAAAGCAAAUUGUUUAAUGAUAAAGCUAGACAUGCAAAUUCUGUUUGAUUUUGGCAUCUGAAAGCUAAUGCAGAAGCAGCUGUUUCGUUCUUAUAAACUUUUAAUUUUAGGUACAUGGGAGUGAGCACAAUAACAUAUGUGAACUUGAGAUCAUGCUGAAACAAAAUAUAGCAUUUGAUGCACCUUCAUAAAUGAAUUUAGUGGAGAUAGCUCGUUAUAUAGCCUUGAAAGAGUGUAGCGAUUCAUGUUAUCACUAUUUAACAUGCUGCAAUAUUUUUCUUUUACCUGAUUAGCGAAAAAUAUCCGGUCCUUUUUGUAGCAUUCAGCAUGGUAAACCCAAGAAUUGCAGAUGAAAUGGACGCGGCCAUGGCCAGGGACGUCUUCAAGAGUCAGCGUCUUGAGGUAGAAUUCACUAUGGUGAAAAUUUGUGAUUGUGAAUGCCCCCGGAUAGCCCAUCUCCUUGCUCCA
RNAcentral lists this long non-coding RNA (2073 nucleotides) under Salvia miltiorrhiza (redroot sage). Its description in RNAcentral is "long non-coding RNA (SMIL_LNC007274)". The record is from RNAcentral. Lineage: Eukaryota; Viridiplantae; Streptophyta; Magnoliopsida; Lamiales; Lamiaceae.